This is a non-coding RNA of Brevibacillus parabrevis, 187 nucleotides long. The record is from Rfam. NCBI's taxonomy places the organism in Bacteria, Bacillati, Bacillota, Bacilli, Caryophanales, Paenibacillaceae.
GGUGAGGGUAGAGGUCGCGGCUUUUAUGUCAUCCUGUACGAGAUUCAGAAGAAAUCUAUGACUCCAGGAAAGGGAAAAGCCGCCGAAGCUCAUAUCGCAUCUCUGUGCGCGUGGGCUGGGGCUGUACCCGAAAGGGACAGAACUGUCACGUUUGCUUGCCGGGCAAACGUGGUGUGCUAUCUUCAGU